UACGUAGGGACCAAGCGUUGUUCGGAUUUACUGGGCGUAAAGGGCGCGUAGGCGGCGUGUUAAGUCACUUGUGAAAUCUCUAAGCUUAACUUAGAACGGUCAAGUGAUACUGAAGUGCUAGAGUGCAGAAGGGGCAACCGGAAUUCUUGGUGUAGCGGUGAAAUGCGUAGAUAUCAAGAGGAACACCUGAGGUGAAGACGGGUUGCUGGGCUGACACUGACGCUGAGGCGCGAAAGCUAGGGUAGCAAACGGG
Molecule: ribosomal RNA, 253 nt
Filed under: uncultured bacterium
Lineage: Bacteria
Description: partial 16S ribosomal RNA
Rfam family: Bacterial small subunit ribosomal RNA
Source: RNAcentral